Molecule: ribosomal RNA, 31 nt
Filed under: fungal sp. 4.46.4A
Lineage: Eukaryota; Fungi
Description: partial 28S ribosomal RNA
Source: RNAcentral
UGUAAAUCAGGGUGGGGCCGCCCCGCGUGGG